Molecule: ribosomal RNA, 645 nt
Filed under: uncultured Lachnospiraceae bacterium
Lineage: Bacteria; Bacillati; Bacillota; Clostridia; Lachnospirales; Lachnospiraceae
Description: bacterial SSU rRNA
Rfam family: Bacterial small subunit ribosomal RNA
Source: RNAcentral
AUGCAAGUCGAACGAAGCGCUUGAGAUUGAUUCUUCGGAAGAUUCUCUUGUGACUUAGUGGCGGACGGGUGAGUAACGCGUGGGUAACCUGCCUUAUACAGGGGGAUAACAGUCAGAAAUGGCUGCUAAUACCGCAUAAGCGCACAGAGCUGCAUGGCUCGGUGUGAAAAACUCCGGUGGUAUAAGAUGGACCCGCGUUGGAUUAGCUGGUUGGUGGGGUAACGGCCCACCAAGGCGACGAUCCAUAGCCGGCCUGAGAGGGUGAACGGCCACAUUGGGACUGAGACACGGCCCAGACUCCUACGGGAGGCAGCAGUGGGGAAUAUUGCACAAUGGGGGAAACCCUGAUGCAGCGACGCCGCGUGAAGGAAGAAGUAUCUCGGUAUGUAAACUUCUAUCAGCAGGGAAGAUAGUGACGGUACCUGACUAAGAAGCCCCGGCUAACUACGUGCCAGCAGCCGCGGUAAUACGUAGGGGGCAAGCGUUAUCCGGAUUUACUGGGUGUAAAGGGAGCGUAGACGGUGUGGCAAGUCUGAUGUGAAAGGCAUGGGCUCAACCUGUGGACUGCAUUGGAAACUGUCAUACUUGAGUGCCGGAGGGGUAAGCGGAAUUCCUAGUGUAGCGGUGAAAUGCGUAGAUAUUAGG